UAAUCAUAUGCUUGUCUCAAAGAUUAAGCCAUGCAUGUCUAAGUAUAAAUGACUUUAUACAGUGAAACUGCGAAUGGCUCAUUAAAUCAGUUAUAGUUUAUUUGAUUGUGGUUUUUUACUACUUGGAUAACUGUAGUAAUUCUAGAGCUAAUACAUGUCAAAAAUCCCGACUCUUUCAUGGGAAGGGAGGCAUUUAUUAGAUCUAAAAACCAAUGCAGGACAUUCCAAACCACCAGGGUUUCGGCUUCGGUUUUGAACCUUGGUGGGUCCUGGUUUU
RNAcentral lists this ribosomal RNA (277 nucleotides) under uncultured eukaryote. Its description in RNAcentral is "partial 18S ribosomal RNA". It matches the Rfam family "Eukaryotic small subunit ribosomal RNA", at positions 21 to 260 of the family's 1831-position model. The record is from RNAcentral.